GACGAACGCUGACGGCGUGCUUAACACAUGCAAGUCGACGGGAGUGGCGAACGGGUGAGUAACACGUUAGUCACCUUCCCUUUUCUUUGGGAUAAACCUGGGAAACUGGGUCUCAUACUGGCUGACUUGGGAUGGUCUCGCGGCUUAUCAGCUUGUUGGUGGGGUGCUGGCUUACCAAGGCUUUGACGGGUAGCCGGCCUGAGAGGGUGGUCGGCAACACUGGAACUGAGACACGGUCCAGACUCCUACGGGAGGCAGCAGUGGGGAAUAUUGCACAAUGGGCGAAAGCCUGAUGCAGCCAUGCCGCGUGUAUGAAGAAGGCCUUCGGGUUGUAAAGUACUUUCAGCGGGGAGGCGUUACCCGCAGAAGAAGCACCGGCUAACUCCGUGCCAGCAGCCGCGGUAAUUC
RNAcentral lists this ribosomal RNA (408 nucleotides) under uncultured bacterium. RNAcentral's name for it is "partial 16S ribosomal RNA". It matches the Rfam family "Bacterial small subunit ribosomal RNA", at positions 28 to 526 of the family's 1533-position model. The record is from RNAcentral.